GCGCGAAACCUCCGCAAUGCGCGCAAGCGCGACGGGGCUACCCCGAGUGCCAUCUUUAUGAUGGCUUUUGCCUAGUGUAAAAAGCUAGGCGAAUAAAGGGGGGGCAAGACGGGUGUCAGCCGCCGCGGUAAUACCCGCUCCCUGAGUGGUGGGGACUUUUAUUGGGCUUAAAGCGUCCGUAGCGGGCCUAGUAAGUUUCCCGUUAAAUCCAGUGGCUUAACCACUGGGCUGCGGGAAAUACUG
Molecule: ribosomal RNA, 243 nt
Filed under: uncultured crenarchaeote
Lineage: Archaea; Thermoproteati; Thermoproteota
Description: partial 16S ribosomal RNA
Rfam family: Archaeal small subunit ribosomal RNA
Source: RNAcentral